RNAcentral lists this long non-coding RNA (3036 nucleotides) under Triticum aestivum (bread wheat). RNAcentral's name for it is "long non-coding RNA (TAES_LNC026280)". The record is from RNAcentral. Lineage: Eukaryota; Viridiplantae; Streptophyta; Magnoliopsida; Poales; Poaceae.
UUAACCACAAAAGCAGAAUAUAUUAAACUGAAAGGCUUUUUCUACAGAGUAAGUGUCAAAAAGGAUUCUUGCGGAGUGAAGGUUAGUGCUCACCAUCAAGUCGCCAGGUUCCAUAUACAACUUGUUGGUGCAGGCUUUCACUCUGCAUCUGAACCUUCAUCUAUCUUUCGGUCAUGGUCAUAUUUGAGUAUAAUUAGUUAGAACCACCAAGUGAGCUUUAAUUAACUCACAAGCUUAUAAAUAAACCAUAAGCUAUACUCAAACAUACUUUAGGAAAGUGAAAAAAAACAUGCAGGAUGAACAAUGCAACUAAUGUACCACGCCAAAUUUGUUUCAACGGGGAUCAGGCCAACCUUUACGGAACAGGGACCAGGUUGUUGUGCUAUAUCUUGCCAGUGGUCCUCAUUGGUAGUAGUGAUCAUUGUCAAAACGUCUGUUACUUGCAAGUUACUGCAAAAAGAAUUUCAUAUCAGCAUGUGCUUAUUGUUUCCCUUUUCUCAAUAUACAAACGUUGCUACAUGUGUCACGGUCUUUAGUUAAAUUUAUUAGGCCAAUUUGGCAUGAUACACCCAUUACGAAUUUCUACUAAAUUGUGUGAUCAAAAGAGCAGGGAAAUGAGGGACAAUACAAAGUAUAGAUUCUACAUUAGAUACAUAGAUCAAAUAAUGUAGUGAAUAGUUGCUGCACCUUACAAAUUCAGUAUCAACAGAGACCUAGUGCCGAAUGAAAGCUACACGAAGGACCUUCCGUACACAGAACAAUCACUAUUCGAGGUGACAUUGACACGUUAAUGAUUCCGAGCCUGCAAAUAAUAAUAUAAGAAUUAGUAUUUCACAUAGAAAGGGGAGAGUCAUAUAGGAACAUGUCUGGGUUUUUUACCGGAAGAAAAUAUUUGGUAUUGCCACGGAAAAAGAUCGAAAUAGCUAGCAUUUAAAGUUCAAACUUAAAAAAGGUAGCAUUUAGUUUAAACAUGAGUAUUGUUGUGAUUCCUAAAUUAAUGUGGCUUCAUUCUAUUAGUAUCUUGGGUAUGUGUGAGAAAUAUUUAGUAUGAAAAGACAACAGAUAAAUGACAAAAAAAGAGUAUUAUUAAAUUCAAAUGCAUACCUUAUAUAUUGAAAUAGGACUGAAGAAACAAUAUGCCCUUUAUAAUAUAAACGUGUAUGUUGUGCCACUUGUAGAGGCACUAAGCUCAAUUUUUCCUGGCAAUAAAGCUAGCACCACUUCUCCCUAAACAGAUUCGCAUAUAUAAAAGAAUCGGGCUAAUGACAGGAUAUUUCUUCUUUGAUCUCAUCAAGUGGAUGUUCAUUUUCUAGCUGUAUCCAAAGGAUUGUAAUGAAUGUGUAUCUAGAAGCUAGACUGUAAGUAAUGGUGACAUGUACUGGUCCGGGAAAUCAGUUCAAACUGCAGGUGUACGAAUUCAACAUAUCAAUAUGAAUUGACAUGUUAAAAACAUAUUGCUUGAGCAGUGAGCGUGGCAGCUAGUUCUUCAAUCUUUUCUGAAUACUCACCGAGCUUAGCUUUUGAAACGCUGAAUCAAGAAGAAAACUCAUGAUUGAAAUUGAAACACUGAAUCAAGAAACAAACUCAUACAUGAACAUGUUCUUAUCAUGGGGAAAUACACAUAAACAUGAGAAGGUAAUUUCCUUUGCUCCAUGCAUUACUAUGACCAGACAUUCUCAUCAUCAAAAUGCAAGGUAAUAAAUGGAAGAAGGCCAUCAAAAAUUUAUUUUGGACCUCAUACGGUUUAUUUUGUCAAGUAAGAAGUGUAUAUUUACAUAUACACAAUUACACAGUUCAGAUUUUCAUGAACAGUUUGCUAAUAAAUCCAGAAGUGAAAGAGUAACCAGAUUUCUUUAAGGGUGCAUCAGUUAGUUUACACUCAGACCAUGACCAAAAUAAAGAUACUCAACGUUAAAAUGCACCCUGGCAGUCUGGGAGAAAGAGAUUCCUCUCUGGGGUCGUGGCCAGGGGUACGACUAUUGUCGUGCCGAUAACCAGUCAAGAUGAGCUGCUUGAGAAACAUAUAAAAGAACAGGGCACCAACACAGAGUAAGCUUCCUUUGCACUCUUAUGUUUGUAAAUACACAACACCCAUGAUGGUGUCUCUGUAGGUCUCUCGUUUGCACAAAAAUUAUGAGGCCCAGAUGCUUAUUUCACUCCUUUCUUAACCUCAAUUAGACUUCUUUUAUCCAAAGUUAGGAGUGUACAGAUAUGAUAGGACGCGAUCCGGCGAGAGGUUUCUGCCUGCGAAGUAGUGCCAUCAAGAUGGCGCAACAAGAUGUCACCGCGAUGCGGACCUACAUGACUGCAUUAGAGUAAUCUGCGACGAAGUCAAGAUCCUCCCCCAAAAAAACAUGCCUCGGACAAAAAAUUGUGGGAGCGCUGCUCUAUUUUGCACCUGCUAUCAAGUAGCUGGUGUGUCUCCGGCAUAAGGACAUGGAAGGAGAGUUUGGUCGGGGAAUGCUGAGCAGAGCAAGCCUCCAAAGCGUGGCGCCGGGGAAGGAGUUGAACAUAUGUAUUUUACAACAGUUCAAUUUUGAAUUAAAACAUCGUCACUUAUUUCCGGAAGGAGAGAGUAAUCGUUAAUGUUCUGUACAUUAUUGCACUUUGAAUCAAAUCGAACGAGACGUGUGCUACAGUAUUUAAAGUUACUUUCACCCUUAUACUUAUAAACAAGAGUCUGCAAUCUUAUGUCCUGAAAGGAGAAUCAAAAGAGGAGAAGGACAUAUUACCAGAGCUCUUAGAUCCUUGAUGACAAAUCCUUAUUGUCUCUGAUAAACUUGUGUUCUCCAAUUUUAGUCCAACACUAUGAACUAUCUCAUCAUACAGUUUGGAUAAACAAUACAUUUUUUUUUUCGCUUUUGAAUAUGCUUGGAGAGGAAAACUGCUUGUUGCUAUUUAUGAAGAAUGGAAAUUGGUUAUGUAAUGAUAAAGUGGUAGCACAUAAUACCUCCACCACAAGGAUUUUUAUCUGCAAGACAUCCGCGGAAUGUAAUCUGACAUUGUAUCCCCUGAAUUUGUCACUGUAUUAGUAAU